GCCGGGCAUGGUGGCGCAUGCCUGUAGUCUCAGCUACUUGGGAGGCUGAGGCACAAGAAUCGCUUGAACUCAGGAGGCAGGGGUUGCAGUGAGCCACGAUUGUGCCACUGCACUCCAGCCUGGGUGACAGAGGGAGACUCUGUCUCAA
Molecule: non-coding RNA, 148 nt
Filed under: Chlorocebus sabaeus (green monkey)
Lineage: Eukaryota; Metazoa; Chordata; Mammalia; Primates; Cercopithecidae
Source: Rfam by way of RNAcentral